CGUUCGUCCUGUCAUUUAUCUCAUUUUAAGAUAAAGGGACGACAAAACUGCAGUCACUUUUGAAGUAAGGAAAAAAUUUAGGGGUGACUUUCUGAGCACAUUUAGGGUUUCGGUGGACCGGGUCUUAAAGACCCUGAAAGAAAAUGCUAAUAAAGCCAAAAGCUUACUGCUCACUACCAUACCUCAGAUAGGGUCCACAGAAUGGUCAGAAACCCUCCAUAACCUGAAGAAUAUGGCCCAGUUUUCUGUUUUAUUACCAAGACAUUAAAGUAGCAUGGCUGCCCAGGAGAAAAGAAGACAUUCUAAUUCCAGUCAUUUUGGGAAUUCCUGCUUAACUUGAAAAAAAUAUGGGAAAGACAUGCAGCUUUCAUGCCCUUGCCUAUCAAAGAGUAUGUUGUAAGAAAGACAAGACAUUGUGUGUAUUAGAGACUCCUGAAUGAUUUAGACAACUUCAAAAUACAGAAGAAAAGCAAAUGACUAGUAAACAUGUGGGAAAAAAUAUUACAUUUUAAGGGGAAAAAAAAACCACCAUUCUCUUCUCCCCCUAUUAAAUUUGCAACAAUAAAGGGUGGAGGGUAAUCUCUACUUUCCUAUACUGCCAAAGAAUGU
This 609-nucleotide small RNA is filed under the name Pan troglodytes (chimpanzee). Its description in RNAcentral is "processed transcript". The record is from RNAcentral. Lineage: Eukaryota; Metazoa; Chordata; Mammalia; Primates; Hominidae.